RNAcentral lists this ribosomal RNA (513 nucleotides) under uncultured bacterium. Its description in RNAcentral is "partial 16S ribosomal RNA". It matches the Rfam family "Bacterial small subunit ribosomal RNA", at positions 28 to 523 of the family's 1533-position model. The record is from RNAcentral.
GACGAACGCUGGCGGCAUGCCUAAUACAUGCAAGUCGAGCGAACAGAUGAAGUGCUUGCACUUCUGACGUUAGCGGCGAACGGGUGAGUAACACGUAAGGAAUCCACCUAUGAGCGGGGGAUAACAUUCGGAAACGGGUGCUAAUACCGCAUAAUAUCUUCUUCCGCAUGGAAGAAGAUUGAAAGACGGCUCUGCUGUCACUUAUAGAUGACCUUGCGGUGGAUUAGCUGGUUGGUGGGGUAACGGCCUACCAAGACGAUGAUGCAUAGCCGACCUGAGAGGGUGAUCGGCCACAUUGGGACUGAGACACGGCCCAAACUCCUACGGGAGGCAGCAGUAGGGAAUCUUCCGCAAUGGGCGAAAGCCUGACGGAGCAAUGCCGCGUGAGUGAAGAAGGCCUUCGGGUCGUAAAACUCUGUUAUAAGAGAAGAACAAAUUGUAGAGUAACUGCUACAGUCUUGACGGUAUCUUAUCAGAAAGCCACGGCUAACUACGUGCCAGCAGCCGCCGUAA